AGUGAACGCUGGCGGUAGGCCUAACACAUGCAAGUCGAACGGCAGCACAGUAAGAGCUUGCUCUUACGGGUGGCGAGUGGCGGACGGGUGAGGAAUACAUCGGAAUCUACUUUUUCGUGGGGGAUAACGUAGGGAAACUUACGCUAAUACCGCAUACGACCUACGGGUGAAAGCAGGGGAUCUUCGGACCUUGCGCGAUUGAAUGAGCCGAUGUCGGAUUAGCUAGUUGGCGGGGUAAAGGCCCACCAAGGCGACGAUCCGUAGCUGGUCUGAGAGGAUGAUCGGCCACACUGGAACUGAGACACGGUCCAGACUCCUACGGGAGGCAGCAGUGGGGAAUAUUGGACAAUGGGCGCAAGCCUGAUCCAGCCAUACCGCGUGGGUGAAGAAGGCCUUCGGGUUGUAAAGCCCUUUUGUUCGGAAAGAAAAGCAGCAGGUUAAUACCCCGCUGUUCUGACGGUACCCAAAGAAUAAGCACCGGCUAACUUCGUG
RNAcentral lists this ribosomal RNA (492 nucleotides) under uncultured bacterium. RNAcentral's name for it is "partial 16S ribosomal RNA". It matches the Rfam family "Bacterial small subunit ribosomal RNA", at positions 29 to 507 of the family's 1533-position model. The record is from RNAcentral.